CCUACGGGUGGCGGCAGUGAGGAAUAUUGGUCAAUGGACGAGAGUCUGAACCAGCCAAGUAGCGUGAAGGAUGACUGCCCUAUGGGUUGUAAACUUCUUUUAUAUGGGAAUAAAAUGUUCCACGUGUGGGAUUUUGUAUGUACCAUAUGAAUAAGGAUCGGCUAACUCCGUGCCAGCAGCCGCGGUAAUACGGAGGAUCCGAGCGUUAUCCGGAUUUAUUGGGUUUAAAGGGAGCGUAGGUGGAUUGUUAAGUCAGUUGUGAAAGUUUGCGGCUCAACCGUAAAAUUGCAGUUGAAACUGGCAGUCUUGAGUACAGGAGAGGUGGGCGGAAGUCGUGGUGUAGCGGUGAAAUGCUUAGAUAUCACGAAGAACUCCGAUUGCGAAGGCAGUUCACUGGACUGCAACUGACACUGAGGCUCGAAAGUGUGGGUAUCAAACAGGAUUAGAUACCCUAGUAGUC
RNAcentral lists this ribosomal RNA (460 nucleotides) under uncultured bacterium. RNAcentral describes it as "partial 16S ribosomal RNA". It matches the Rfam family "Bacterial small subunit ribosomal RNA", at positions 338 to 795 of the family's 1533-position model. The record is from RNAcentral.